GUCCUAGCCGUAAACGGUGCACGUUUGCUGUAAGAGGAAUCGACCCCUUUUGUGGCGAAGCUAACGCGUUAAACGUGCCGCCUGGGAAGUACGGUCGCAAGAUUAAAACUCAAAGAAAUUGACGGGGGCCUGCACAAGCGGUGGAGUAUGUGGCUCAAUUCGAUGCAACGCGAAGAACCUUACCUGGCCUUGACAUGUACGUAGUAGAAGGGUGAAAGCCUGACGAGGUAGCAAUACCAGCGUACACAGGUGCUGCAUGGCUGUCGU
Molecule: ribosomal RNA, 267 nt
Filed under: uncultured bacterium
Lineage: Bacteria
Description: partial 16S ribosomal RNA
Rfam family: Bacterial small subunit ribosomal RNA
Source: RNAcentral